This 442-nucleotide ribosomal RNA is filed under the name uncultured bacterium. RNAcentral's name for it is "bacterial SSU rRNA". It matches the Rfam family "Bacterial small subunit ribosomal RNA", at positions 30 to 514 of the family's 1533-position model. The record is from RNAcentral.
UGAACGCUGGCGGCGUGCCUAACACAUGCAAGUCGAACGGGAAUCUUCGGAUUCUAGUGGCGGACGGGUGAGUAACGCGUAAGAAUCUAACUUCAGGACGGGGACAACAGUUGGAAACGACUGCUAAUACCCGAUAUGCCGCAAGGUGAAACCUAAUUGGCCUGGAGAAGAGCUUGCGUCUGAUUAGCUAGUUGGUGGGGUAAGAGCCUACCAAGGCGACGAUCAGUAGCUGGUCUGAGAGGAUGAGCAGCCACACUGGGACUGAGACACGGCCCAGACUCCUACGGGAGGCAGCAGUGGGGAAUUUUUCCGCAAUGGGCGAAAGCCUGACGGAGCAACGCCGCGUGAGGGAGGAAGGUCUUUGGAUUGUAAACCUCUUUUCUCAAGGAAGAAGUUCUGACGGUACUUGAGGAAUCAGCCUCGGCUAACUCCGUGCCAGCAG